RNAcentral lists this ribosomal RNA (374 nucleotides) under uncultured organism. RNAcentral's name for it is "bacterial SSU rRNA". It matches the Rfam family "Bacterial small subunit ribosomal RNA", at positions 526 to 896 of the family's 1533-position model. The record is from RNAcentral.
CGUAGGGUGCGAGCGUUGUCCGGAAUUAUUGGGCGUAAAGAGCUCGUAGGCGGUGUGUCGCGUCGGUCGUGAAAACUUGGGGCUUAACCCUGAGCUUGCGGUCGAUACGGGCAUCACUGGAGUUCGGCAGGGGAGACUGGAAUUCCUGGUGUAGCGGUGAAAUGCGCAGAUAUCAGGAGGAACACCGGUGGCGAAGGCGGGUCUCUGGGCCGAUACUGACGCUGAGGAGCGAAAGCGUGGGGAGCGAACAGGAUUAGAUACCCUGGUAGUCCACGCCGUAAACGGUGGGCGCUAGGUGUGGGGGCCAUUCCACGGUCUCUGUGCCGCAGCUAACGCAUUAAGCGCCCCGCCUGGGGAGUACGGCCGCAAGGCUA